GAUGAACGCUGGCGGCGUGCUUAAUACAUGCAAGUCGAGCGAACGGACCCGACUUUUGCGGGUGUCCGGGUGGCGGAAGGGGGGGGAAAAACACGUGGAUCCCCCCCUUAUAUUAGGGGUAUCUCUGGGAAAAGGGGGAGCUAACCGCGGAGAAUCUCUUGAGCCGUGUGGUGGAUAGGAAAGUUUCGGCGGUGGGGGCUGGACUCGCGGCUUACGCGCUUGUUGGGGGGGUAGGGGCUUACCAGGGUUUUGACGGGUAGCCGGCCUGAGAGGGUGACCGGCCACAUGGGGACUGAGGUACGGCCCAGACGCCUACGGGAGGCAGCAGUGGGGAAUAUGGCACAGUGGGCGGAAGCCUGAUGCAGCAACGCCGCGUGCGGGAUGACGGCCUUCGGGUUGUGAACCGCUUUCGCCUGUGACGAAGCGUGAGUGACGGUAAUGGGUAAAGAAGCACCGGCUAACUACGUG
This 468-nucleotide ribosomal RNA is filed under the name uncultured bacterium. RNAcentral's name for it is "partial 16S ribosomal RNA". It matches the Rfam family "Bacterial small subunit ribosomal RNA", at positions 28 to 507 of the family's 1533-position model. The record is from RNAcentral.